This 744-nucleotide ribosomal RNA is filed under the name Triticum aestivum (bread wheat). RNAcentral describes it as "partial small subunit ribosomal RNA". Lineage: Eukaryota; Viridiplantae; Streptophyta; Magnoliopsida; Poales; Poaceae. The record is from RNAcentral.
AUGUUUGGGUGUCAAGUGGGCACACUUCCCAUGAAAUAUCUGGGAGUCCCUGUUACUUAUUCUACCCUCAAGAAUGCGGAUCUAGAUUUCCUUGACGGAAAAAUGAUCAAAAAACUUCAUGCCUGGGUAGCAUAUGCAGCAUCUUCUGGAGCUAGACUAACGUUGCUAGGGUCCAGUUUGGAUGGAAUUCCCUCUUUCCUCAUGUCAAUGUUCCUUUUUAAUAAGACCUUUAUUGAGAAGCUGGAUAAACAUCGCAGACGUUUCUUUUGGAGGAGGAAAAAUAAGAAACAUGGAUACCAUAUGGUUAAGUGGACGAGGAUAUGUCGAUCGAAAAGGAUUGGGGGAUUAGGGAUUAAAGAUCUUCAUAAACAAAAUAUUGCCCUACUUGUUAAGUGGUGGUGGAAGUUAGAAACAAGUGAUGGGCUAUGGCAGCGUAUUGUAAGAGCUAGAUACUUCAGGAACAAAAUAGUGGCUACCAUUCGGAGCCGCUUUUCGGACUCUCCCUGCUGGAAAGCAAUUAUGAAGGUCAAGGAUUCUUAUAUGGCAGGAAGAAAAGUUAAAAUCGAAAGUGGAAACCUGGCUAGGGUCUGGUAUGAUCCGUGGGCUGAGAAUAUUACGUUGAAAGAUCACUUUCCUGAUCUAUUUGGUAUUUGCCAGGAGCAGGAAUGCACGGUUGCAUCUUGGGCGACUAACAACUAUGAGCUGGGCUUUAGACGUAGAUUGGUUGGGGUGUUGGGUGAGCAG